UGACUCAAGAAUUAUCGGCCAACAUGUGGAC
RNAcentral lists this non-coding RNA (31 nucleotides) under Mus musculus (house mouse). The record is from RNAcentral. Lineage: Eukaryota; Metazoa; Chordata; Mammalia; Rodentia; Muridae.